UAUGUAUCCUGGCAGUUUUCAACGGGAACCAACUCUGCAGGUGGAAGUUAUUCACUCAGAGGGUGGUGACGCACUGAACAGGUUGUCCAAGGAUUGCUGGAUGCCCCAUCCCUGGAGGCAUUCCAGGCCAGGCUGGAUGUGGCUCUGGGCAGCCUGGUGUGAUGGUUGGCGACCCUGCACAUAGCAGGGGGUUGGAACUGGAUGAUCACUGUGGCCCCUUUCAACCCAG
This 229-nucleotide long non-coding RNA is filed under the name Gallus gallus (chicken). The record is from RNAcentral. Lineage: Eukaryota; Metazoa; Chordata; Aves; Galliformes; Phasianidae.